GUUCGCUCAGUGGUAGAGCACCAGACUGAGGAUCUGGCUGUCGCGGGUUCGACUCCCGCACCAACA
RNAcentral lists this transfer RNA (66 nucleotides) under Rhodopirellula sp. RNAcentral describes it as "tRNA-Leu". It matches the Rfam family "tRNA", at positions 6 to 65 of the family's 71-position model. Rfam says of the family: Transfer RNA (tRNA) molecules are approximately 80 nucleotides in length. Their secondary structure includes four short double-helical elements and three loops (D, anti-codon, and T loops). Further hydrogen bonds mediate the characteristic L-shaped molecular structure. tRNAs have two regions of fundamental functional importance: the anti-codon, which is responsible for specific mRNA codon recognition, and the 3' end, to which the tRNAs corresponding amino acid is attached (by aminoacyl-tRNA synthetases). tRNAs cope with the degeneracy of the genetic code in two manners: having more than one tRNA (with a specific anti-codon) for a particular amino acid; and 'wobble' base-pairing, i.e. permitting non-standard base-pairing at the 3rd anti-codon position. The record is from RNAcentral. Lineage: Bacteria; Pseudomonadati; Planctomycetota; Planctomycetia; Pirellulales; Pirellulaceae.